This is an RNA transcript of Dermatophagoides farinae (American house dust mite), 1035 nucleotides long. RefSeq lists it as uncharacterized. Lineage: Eukaryota; Metazoa; Arthropoda; Arachnida; Sarcoptiformes; Pyroglyphidae. The record is from RefSeq and is a predicted model, not a curated record.
CAUUGACUUUCAUUGCGCGAAAAGGAUAUUCGAUUUUUUUUGUCGUAUAUAUGAAUCUGGAUUUAAUUCACAAUGGUUUGCUCGAUUUUCUUCAUUUUUAAAAUGUAACUUCAACGGAAUGUCAUUUUUCGUAACUAACGUUGGUGAAAAUUUUAUAAAAAUUUUGUCACCAUAUUUGAAUAGUCAUUGUUGUUUAACGACUGGUCAUUAUCAUGCUCGUUCACUAUGGACAACUAAACCUUUUCAUUAUGUUCAAAAACAACAAGAAAAUUACUACGAUAUUCUUGGAUUGAAACGAGAUUGUUCACAAGAUCAAAUUCGUACGGCCUAUUUGGAUUUGUGUAAAAAAUUCCAUCCAGAUAAAUCAGCUAAAAACAAUGCCAGUGAACAACAAAUAAUCAAAGAUACUGCCCGUUUUCAAAAGAUCAACGAAGCUUAUAAUUGUCUCUGUAAAGCGGACACUCGCAAUCAAUAUGAUUUGUCACUUAACUUUGGCCUUGGUGACAAUCCAUUCAUAAAAAGGCCAACAAAAGGAUAUUAUUAUCAUCAUCCCCCUCCAAUGAAUCAUAAUGACCCGUAUCAUCAUCGCUAUUAUAAUCAUCAAUCACCAUUCAGUGAUCGUGCCACUUACAAUUAUUACAAUCAUAUUCGCCGUGAAACCAUGCGUCAAGAGCAUGAAAGAUAUUCACAAUUUCAUCGUGAAAUGUUUGGUUCUAAAUUUACUGGUUUUAUGCUGUUGACCUUGGUUAUAACGACUAUAUUACAGGGCAUUAAUAUUUUGUUGAAUUAUGAAAUGUAUGAGAUCAAUAUGAAAAAACGAUAUGAUGACAUCACCAAUAUUUAUAAAGAAUUAGAUUUUAUAUUUUAUGGAAAGAAAGUGUGAAAAAUAGACGUUCAAUAAUAAUGGAAGAUUUGAAUAAUACAAUAUCGGCCACGAACAAACAUGGACUACGAUCACGAAUGCAUCUACAGCGAAAUGUUAUCGAUCAGAAACAAGAUAAAAAAACAUGAUUAAUAUCUACUGUUUUGUUAUUU